GACGAACGCUGGCGGCGUGCUUAACACAUGCAAGUCGAACGGAAGGGCCCUGCUUUUGUGGGGUGCUCGAGUGGCGAACGGGUGAGUAACACGUGAGUAACCUGCCCUUGACUUUGGGAUAACUUCAGGAAACUGGGGCUAAUACCGGAUAGGAGCUCCUGCCGCAUGGUGGGGGUUGGAAAGUUUCGGCGGUUGGGGAUGGACUCGCGGCUUAUCAGCUUGUUGGUGGGGUAGUGGCUUACCAAGGCUUUGACGGGUAGCCGGCCUGAGAGGGUGACCGGCCACAUUGGGACUGAGAUACGGCCCAGACUCCUACGGGAGGCAGCAGUGGGGAAUAUUGCACAAUGGGCGGAAGCCUGAUGCAGCAACGCCGCGUGCGGGAUGACGGCCUUCGGGUUGUAAACCGCUUUCGCCUGUGACGAAGCGUGAGUGACGGUAAUGGGUAAAGAAGCACCGGCUAACUACGUG
RNAcentral lists this ribosomal RNA (468 nucleotides) under uncultured bacterium. RNAcentral's name for it is "partial 16S ribosomal RNA". It matches the Rfam family "Bacterial small subunit ribosomal RNA", at positions 28 to 507 of the family's 1533-position model. The record is from RNAcentral.